Sander lucioperca (pikeperch) is the source of this 215-nucleotide long non-coding RNA. RefSeq lists it as uncharacterized. Lineage: Eukaryota; Metazoa; Chordata; Actinopteri; Perciformes; Percidae. The record is from RefSeq and is a predicted model, not a curated record. The transcript has 3 exons.
AUGACGUCACACCGAUUAAAAAGUAAUGCGCUACAAAGUAACGCGUUACUGUAAUUACACUACUUUUAGCGGUAACGAGCAUGUAACUAAAUAUUUUUUUUCAUCAAGUAACGCAAUUACAAUUACUGAAAUUUAAAUGAGUUUGUUACUCGCGUUACUCUCUUUUGUGAAAAAUGAACGCUUGCAGACAAGAAGACAGAGAGGCCUACUUUAGC